RNAcentral lists this ribosomal RNA (744 nucleotides) under Pseudoalteromonas sp. UOH-63. Its description in RNAcentral is "bacterial SSU rRNA". It matches the Rfam family "Bacterial small subunit ribosomal RNA", at positions 39 to 778 of the family's 1533-position model. Lineage: Bacteria; Pseudomonadati; Pseudomonadota; Gammaproteobacteria; Alteromonadales; Pseudoalteromonadaceae. The record is from RNAcentral.
GCGGCAGGCCUAACACAUGCAAGUCGAGCGGUAACAGAGAGGUGCUUGCUCCUUUGCUGACGAGCGGCGGACGGGUGAGUAAUGCUUGGGAACAUGCCUUGAGGUGGGGGACAACAGUUGGAAACGACUGCUAAUACCGCAUAAUGUCUACGGACCAAAGGGGGCUUCGGCUCUCGCCUUUAGAUUGGCCCAAGUGGGAUUAGCUAGUUGGUGAGGUAAUGGCUCACCAAGGCAACGAUCCCUAGCUGGUUUGAGAGGAUGAUCAGCCACACUGGGACUGAGACACGGCCCAGACUCCUACGGGAGGCAGCAGUGGGGAAUAUUGCACAAUGGGCGCAAGCCUGAUGCAGCCAUGCCGCGUGUGUGAAGAAGGCCUUCGGGUUGUAAAGCACUUUCAGUCAGGAGGAAAGGUUAGUAGUUAAUACCUGCUAGCUGUGACGUUACUGACAGAAGAAGCACCGGCUAACUCCGUGCCAGCAGCCGCGGUAAUACGGAGGGUGCGAGCGUUAAUCGGAAUUACUGGGCGUAAAGCGUACGCAGGCGGUUUGUUAAGCGAGAUGUGAAAGCCCCGGGCUCAACCUGGGAACUGCAUUUCGAACUGGCAAACUAGAGUGUGAUAGAGGGUGGUAGAAUUUCAGGUGUAGCGGUGAAAUGCGUAGAGAUCUGAAGGAAUACCGAUGGCGAAGGCAGCCACCUGGGUCAACACUGACGCUCAUGUACGAAAGCGUGGGGAGCAAACAGGAU